Molecule: ribosomal RNA, 425 nt
Filed under: uncultured bacterium
Lineage: Bacteria
Description: partial 16S ribosomal RNA
Rfam family: Bacterial small subunit ribosomal RNA
Source: RNAcentral
GUUAGGAAUAUUGGACAAUGGGCGAAAGCCUGAUCCAGCCAUGCCGCGUGAACGAUGAAGGCCUUCGGGUUGUAAAGUUCUUUAGCCGAUGAUUAUAAUGACUGUAGUCGGAAAAUAAGCCCCGGCUAACUUCGUGCCAGCAGCCGCGGUAAUACGAAGGGGGCGAGCGUUAUUCGGAAUCACUGGGCGUAAAGCGUGCGUAGGCGGUUUUGUAAGUUAGGAGUGAAAGCCCAGGGCUCAACCUUGGAAUUGCUCUUAAAACUGCAAUGCUCGAAUCUCGGAGAGGAUAGCGGAAUUUCCAGUGUAGCAGUGAAAUGCGUAGAUAUUGGAAGGAACACCAGUGGCGUAAGCGGCUAUCUGGACGAGUAUUGACGCUGAGGCACGAAAGCGUGGGGAUCAAACAGGAUUAGAUACCCCUGUAGUCC